This 10533-nucleotide long non-coding RNA is filed under the name Salvia miltiorrhiza (redroot sage). RNAcentral's name for it is "long non-coding RNA (SMIL_LNC009290)". Lineage: Eukaryota; Viridiplantae; Streptophyta; Magnoliopsida; Lamiales; Lamiaceae. The record is from RNAcentral.
GCCGCCUCCAAGGGCUCCUCACGAGAUCCGACCUAACGACACUCGCAAUCUCGAUAAACCUCAACUUCUACUUCUAUGCGGGGCCUUAUGCUGGAAGCACGCUCAGCAUCCUCGGCCGGAACCAGAUCUCUCUGGUCGAGCAGGAGCUUGUGGUUGCCGGUGGCACUAGCGUUUUCUGAUUUGCUUGUGGAUACGCAAUUUAGAAGACUAACUCUAUGCGUCCAAAUGUAUCGGUAUUGGAAUACACUAUCUACACCACCUACAACGCUAAACUUAAUGAAGUUUAUGAAAUGUAAGGGAAAUAUCAAGUAAAUUUAUAUAGUGUAAUAAAUUUUUGUGUGAGUGCACGAGUUUGAUUUGAUUUCUUUGUUGCAUUUUCAUGUUUGUGUUUAAGAUGACCACGGAAAUGUAAUUUUUUUUUGGUAUUGCUAUGAUUGAUCAAUGAUUAUUUUUCCAAAUCAAGCCUCUUCUUGUUUGAAUUCCGCUAACUAAUAAUUUUAAAUUUGAAUUCACCUCAUAUCAUGUCAAUAAUUAAUUACCAAUUAAUAAAUUCAAAAGUGGCAACGGUCAUGUACUUUGCUGACAUCUAAGCUAAACGUACUUUCUCGUGUCCACACUACACAUGUACACUAGAAAGGAUAGCCCCGUUGCAACGGAAGACACGAACUUUCCCUCUGCUUCUACAUCGACACAUAUGAGGUUGUAAAUUUCCGCAUCCUCGUCUAGGAUCUCAGAAUGAACGCCCCCAACACCGUUAUGUACGACGUGGCACAGGCCUCCAUCAGCGCCACCUCGAUGACCGACGGCAAAAGACUAAUUCUACGACAUAUACACCACCACCUACACCGCUACAACAAUAAAUCAAUUUGAUGAAAUUAAUGUGAGAGAAUUAAUUAUGAAGUCGACUUAGAUAAAUUGUGGAAUAAAUUAAUGGGUAUGCAUGGGCUCUAUUUCUUAUGUUUGUUACCUUUUCAUGUUAGUGUUUAAGGUUGCAUUUCUUCUGACGUGAUCCUCUAUUCCAUAAUUUAGUAUGUUUCACUGUAUCCCAUUCUUAAUUUAUUAUACUAAUUUAUAAUUAUUUUUAAAAUUUAAUUUAUUAUUAUGUUUUAUUAUAAUAAGGGGCCAUUUACUUUCCAUGAUUGAGUAUUUUUAUCCUUAAUACUAUAAUUUCUCCGAUUCCAUAAUUUCAAUGAGAUAUGAAUCAACUAAAAUUAGCUCAAAUAAUUAAAUAAUCAAUGGUCUUGGAAUAUCCUAAAGUUUCAAUUCAUCAAAGUAAACAAGGGAUUAACUUUACUAUUUUUAUCAAUAAAGACUGAUCCUACAAAAUAAAUACUCCUAAAAAGAUAAUUAAUAAGGGUUCACUCAUCUAGUUAAGAUUUUCAAUUAUUUUUUUAAAAAGAAAAAAGUUCAAAUUAAAUCAAGUUGAAUGCCUAAUUCAUAUAUAAAAUUAGCUGAAGUACUUAUAGUUAUCUUGUUAAUUACUAUUUUUUUUUAGGGAAUCUUGUUAAUUACUAUUUGACUUGACCUUUUCUAACAACUCUCACUACAAGAAACUAGGCGAUUAGCGAUUCCGUCGCUAAUCGCCAAAAAUUCGUCGCUAAUUUUGAUCACCGACGGAUCAACGACGGCCGCCGUGUGUCGCUGUAAAAGUGGUCGGUAAAAAAAUCACCGACGGAAUUUCGCAUCCGUUGCUAAUUAGCGACGAAAAUACCGACAGACCGUCCGUAGGUAAGCACACGACGACGCCGGCGUCGUCUGAAAUCAGCGACGGAAAUGACCGUCGGUAUUAGCGACUCCACAAGUAUUUUGGUAUUUCUAAUGUAUUUUGAACUUAAUCGCAUACAUUAAGACGAACUUUCCAGUGGGUCACCCAUCUUAGUUGUGCUCUAAUUCAAGCACGUUUAACCUUGAAGUUCUUUUCGAGUGGUCACCAGUACAGAACACGCGUAUUAUUGAUAUAACUAUCAUCUAUUAAUUCAUUUAAACUCUAUUUCAAUAUACAAUACUCCCUCCGUCCGCCAAAAGUAUUCCACAAUUACUAUAUUUGGCGUCCGCAAAAAGUAUUCCACUUUCCUUUUUAAGCCAUGGUCCCACCAUCCACCUUUAUAUUUUAUCAUUACAAACACUCUUUAUUUACAAAAAACUCACCCCAAAUUUAAUCUCAACCACACAUCUCAUAAAGUGGUGGGACCCUUUCUCCACUACAUCAACAUCAUCACACAUUUUAUUAAACUCCGUGCCCGGCCAAAGUGGAAUACUUUUGGCGGACGGAGGGAGUAUCAUUUAUUUAUAACUUUAGAAUAUGCUGAAGUCAUAUCUAAGUCUUGUGGUGCCGACGAAAGAAUGACGGUAAAUAUACGAUCGAAUUUAAAAUAAUAAAAAAUAUUAAUAUUCUCAAUAAUUUAAAAACAAGAAUAAAUUAGAAUAUUAAUUAAAUAAUAAUAAAAAUAUUUUUAAAAAAAAUAAAAAUAACAAAAAAUUAAUAAUAUUUACCGACAGAUUAUUAAUUAAAAAAUUUAAAAAAUUUAAAAAAAAUAAAAAAUAUUUAGCGACGAAAUAUUUUUCGUCGCUAAUAAUUUCGUUGCUAUUCCGUUGGUAAAUUUAAAAAAUAAAUUAAAAAUAAUAAAUAAUAUUUAACGACGGAUUAUUUUCCGUCGCUAAUAAUUCCGUCGCUAUUCCGUCGGUAAUUCGUCAGUAAAAUUUUGAAAACAUCUUCGUCGGAAUUUCGCCGUUGUUCCGUCGGUGAUUACCAACGGAUUAUUUUCCGUCAGUAAUUCCGUCGGUGUCCGAUAUAUUUUUUUGUAGUGUCUCUAUAUAAGCUCAUUAUAGCAACAUAUUUAUAAUAAUUUAAUUUAGUCAAGUAUGUAUGUACUAUAUAGGAACAUGUCUUGAUAUUAUGGAGUGAUUUAUAUAUCUAAUAAGUAUUUUAAUUCAUAGUUUCUUCUAAAAGAAAAUAGACAUCUAGAGGUUUUCAAAAUCAUAUGUCAUAUUCUCUUAUUCAUUUUCAAUGAGUUGAUAAUAUUUUUUUGAAGUUGAGUGAAAUACGGAAGGUUGAUUAUGUACCUUGCAUUAUGUUGAGAAAUUAUGUUACUAUUGAGUAAUAAGCAUGCAUACUUAUGAUAUACUAAAACUUUAUAAUUUAUUAGGUCGGUAAUGCGAAUCUAGGAUUGAAGUAUAGACCUAUGAUGAAGAGUAGAUUAUAUAUGAUAAUGUUGUAGCUUUAGUUUAUCGGAACUAAACCUAAGGUUUAUAUUGUAGGCCCAACUGAAGAGGAUACCUAAGUGGAACCACUCUAUAGCGAGACCAAAACCAUCUUGUGUAUCAGGUGUGUUUAUGUUAAAAUGUACUUUUUGAUGAGUUACUAAGCUCUGAUAUUUAUGAAAGUAAAAUGUGAAUGUUCAUGCUUCAAUGUUUUACUCUCUAUUGGGUAUGUGCUAUUAACUGGCAUGAAGUUGGCUUUGCCAAUUAACAAGGAGUUAACGAUCGUGCUCUGUGCUAGUACUAGCCAGAGUGUAGUGCGCACGGAAGUCAGAACUGGGUAGAACUUGGCCAGGUUCCUCAGUUCUGAUGAAGGGAAUCGUAUGUGGAAGAAAAUUCCUCGACGAUCAUACAGUUAUAUGUUAUACCAAUAGUAGAGGCAGUUAAAGAAAGUAAAGUUUUGUAUGCUUAUGAUGUAUGAUUUAUGUUUAAAAGCUUCAUAUGCAUACUAUUAAGCAUGAAACAUUUUAUUAUACGGUUCUUCCAAAUGUUUUAUAAACAGCAAUAGCACACUGAGUACAAUAGUGCUCAGCCAAAUCUUUUUAAAAUGUUUGCAGGUUGAGCGGCGGAUGUGGAGUGUGGUGCUGAGAUGAAGAUCUUUUAUUGAAAUCUCGUUUUUUUUGUCUCAUCCGUUUCGAUAUUUUUUUUAAAUAUCGCAUUCUAAAAGUAAUUAUGAAAAGGUAUUCAUCGAUUCUCAUAUAUAUAAAAGUACUGAAAUAAAUAUAUAAAUAAUCUAACUCACCUUCAAUUCAACCUCUUCCGUCUCCGGCAACUAUAUUCUGGCGCGCCAACUUCGCUUUCCAUCAAAAAACCAAAAUUACAAAUCCAAAUUUGGUAGGUCAAUUUUCACUUUUUCUUCUCCCUCCAUUUUGUCAUUUGAUCCAUUUUAAGUCGAAAUGAUGGAGGAAAAAUUAUAUUUAGCCUAUUAUUGUUGAAAAUCUAUGAAGUUUGAUUUCUUCUAGUGUCUAAAUUCACAGUAUACGAAGUAUAAUAAUAAAUAACUUGUACAAACUAAAGAAAGUAAUUUUAUGGAAAAAUAAUUAAUCUCCGUAAAUAAAUAUGAAUCAUGUUUGACACUAUUGUUAUUAUUUUCUCUGAGGCCGACACUAUUGAAUUUAUUAUCUUAAUAUUAUAUUCUGUUAAAUUAGGGAUGAAAUUUAGUGUCCCAUAUUUUUUGUGUGUCAAUCGUAUCCCAAUAUUAUAUUUAUUACUCUAAUAGUAAUAUUUUUGCAAAAAUAAAGUUUAAUAUAAUAUUCACGAAUUAUAUUUAACCCUAACUUUCGAUUUAUCGACUCUAAUAAAGCAUUAUUAACUAAUAAAUAGUAUAGAAAUUAAAUAAUAAAAGAAAAAUAAUAUACCCAAAAUUGAGUGGAAUAAAUUUUAAUAAAUAAUUACAAAAUUAAAAUUGAAAAACAAAGAGGAAAGAAAAUAAAAAUUGAAAGUGAGACAUUGAAUUUAAUUAGUACAUUGAAUCUCAAUAAAUCUAGACAAGAGUCAAAGUGCGAAUCUUAGCAACUUUCAGAUUAAUUAGAUAAACUUUGAUGAUAUGAAUAUUUAGGGUAAGUCAUUCUUAGUUUCUAUUUUUAUUUUUAUUUUGUUCUAUUGGUAUUGGCCAUCGUUUCUGUUUUGACGAAAAGUUAAUUUCAUGAGUUUUUUUAUACCCAUAUGGCCAUAUGCAACUUGCAAAAGUUUUAUCAGUUUUUUAUACUCAUAUGGCCAUAUGCAUCUUGCAUUAUUCUUCUAAAAAUAUACCAUAACAAAUAUUUAAUAUCUAUUCAAUACCUUUAUAUAAACCCCUAUCCACAUGAAAAUCCAAUCACACCAAUACAUUCCCAUCUCUAUCAAGUUAAAUUAGCUAGCAACAAAGAAAUUAAAAUGGCAAAGCUAGGCUCCAUUGGUGUGAUCCUAACAAUCUCAUGCUUGCUAGCGUUGACACUAUACGUCAAUGCUAGAAAGCAAGGCCUUGAUAUUGCGGAGGAUUUCCUAGAUUUCCCCCGCAAAGACUUCUACCUCGAAAAAGAAAAGGUCGUGAAGUUCCGCGUCUUUGUUCAGGAUCUCAGUGUAAAUCACCCCAACACCACCACGUACGACGUGGCACAGGCCUCCAUCACCGCGACCUCCCCGACCAGCUUCGGCAAAGUCCGUGUCAUCGACGACCUAGUCACAGCGCAGCCGGAUGGCAACUCCAGGGCGCUCGGCCGCCUCCAAGGGCUCCUCACGAGAUCCGACCUAACGACGCUCGCGAUCUCAGUGAACCUCAACUUGUACUUCUCGGCGGGGCCUUACGCCGGCAGCAUCAUUAGCCUCCUCGGCCGGAACCAGAUCGCGCUGGCCGAGCGGGAGCUUGUGGUCGCUGGCGGCACCGGUGUCUUCCGAUUUGCUCGUGGAUAUGCAAUUCAGAAGACUAACUCUACGCGCACAAACGUAUCGGUGUUGGAAUACAACAUCUACACCACCUACAAUGCUAAACUCAAUGAGGUUGAUGAAAUGUGAGGAAAUAUCAAGUCCAUAUAGAUAGUGGGAUAAAUUUGUGUGAGUGCACGAGUUUGCAUUUGAUUUCUUUGUUGCAUUUUCAUGUGACCACGUACGAAAAUUGUUUUUUUUUUUUUUGUAUUGCUAUGAUUGAUGAAUUAUUAUUUUCCUAAAUCAAGCAUUCUUCUUGUUUGAAUUUCCUAUAUUUUUAAAUUUGUAAUUACAUUAAACAUGUCAAUAAUUAAUUACAAUUAAUAAAUUCGAAAUUGGCAACAGUUAAGUACCAAUAAAACAACGAAGUGCGAUUCAAUUGAUAAGACGAUUUCCCUCUAAUCAAUAAGUCUAAGGUUCGAGUCACCACGAGACCAUUAUUGAUCCUUUUCAAAAAAAAAACAAAAGACCAAUUAAUAAUUAACACCACUUGAUUUUUCAUUAUGUUGGAACCCUAUAAGCUUAAGAGAUGAUGAUGUCCACAACUUUAAAUAUUUUUUUUGUCGAAAUUAAUUCAACUUCUUUAUCAGUUUAGGGGCAAGCCGCAUGUAUCGCUGGGCUCGCGCCUCAGAUCCGACCCGGCAUGUUGACUUGCCGUUGUUUUAGUGUACUAGUUAUAAUAUGUAAAUAAGUCCUUUUUUCUUAAAAGUAAAUGUGACUUUAAAAGUAAUUAAAUGAGAUCUAUACUAUAUUAAAACAGCAGUUUUCAAUUAGAAAUUGAUUUCAAAUCAAUUUCAAUGGCAAUUUUGUGAUUUCUUACAAAAAUAAUGACUUAUUGUACAUAUUCAAAACUUAAGUAACUAACUCAAUUAAAAUUACAUAACCCAUAAUUUUUUUAAAAAUGCACACCCACGUUUAAAAAGACAAAUUGCAUAACCCACGUUUAUAAUUUCAUAAUGAAUUAUAUGUUUAUAUGUGUAUAUAUACACAAUUUAUAAGGCAUUGGUUAUAAAUAAUUUAUAAAUUUAUAUUUAUAUAAUAAUUUAUAAUAUAUUAAGAAGAUAAUUUUCAAUUUCAAAUUGAUUUCAAAAUUAAUAAGUGACAAUUUUGUAGUUAUAAAAAAUUGAAGUUUUAUUUGUACAAUAUAAUUUUUCUUCGUGUUCUUAUUUUUUAAUAUUAUUUCUUUCUAAAAUUGUGAAAUUAAAAUUAUUUAUAAAAUAUAUCAAAUUAAAUAUCAUGAUAAGAGCAUUAAUUUGAUAUAUUUUAUGUAAAUAUUUGAUUUAAAAUGGAGAGUUAUAUUUAUUUAAAGAUUAAUGGUUUUUAAAAAUUCUCUCUCAUCUCUCCUCUUUUUUUGAAUAAAUCAAUUUUUUUCUAUUUUAUUCUUUUUACUUAUUAUUUAUGCCUUUUCACAAUAUCAAUUUUUAUUAUUGUGAAUUUUUCUUUAUUUUUUUUAAUAUUCAACUCAAAUAUAUUAAGUGAAAAUUAAUUUUUUUCUUAUAUUUAUAAAUAUGAUAAUUGAGUUGGUAUCAAUUUAUAUAUAUAAAAAUAUAAAAACGUUUUCCGUGCAUCGCACGGGGUGCAAAUGCUAGUUAUAUUAUUAAAAGCAAAUAAGAUUUUUAAAAAUUAAAAAUAAAAUUAUGCACACAAAACAGGAGUUGUAUUACGCAAAUGAGUUUUUUUAACAAAGCAAAUGAUUUUUUUUAAACGAAUGAAAUAAAUGCACAUAAAGUAUGGACUAUAUUAAUUACAUAAAUGAAACUUUAUUCAAAACCAAAUGAAACUUUUAUUAAAAGAAAAUAAGACUGUUAAAAGAUAAAAAUAAAAUUAUGCACACAAAGCACGAAUUGUAAGACUUUUCUUCAAGACAAAUGAGUUUUUUUUUUUAAAAUUAAACGUGUUUUUUUACGAAAUCAAAUGAGACUUUUGAUUAGAUUAAGAGGGUGUUUGGCUGAGCUUAUAAGCUCCUCAAAACAGUUGUUUAAGAGCUUAUAAGUUCCUUUAAAGUGUUUGACAAAAUAAGCUUCUAAACAGUUUAUAAGCUCCAACAGCUUAUAAGCUCCCCAAAAAAAUAGUUUAUCUACCCCAACUUAUUUUUUUAUAAUCUCAUAUGCAACAAUCAUUUUACAAAUAUUUUUCAACUAUAAUUUAUUAUUUUCAUCAUAUAUCAUUGAAGUUCAUUAUUUUUUGAUUCUCUCUCUCUAGAAAAAAAUUCUCUCUCUCUAGAAAAAAAUUCUCUCUCUAGCUUAUAAGCUCAAUCAUCCAAACACUUUAACAACUUAUAAGCUCUUAAAAAUUACAUCUUAUAAGCUCUUGAAACAUCUUAUAAGCUCCAAGAGCUUAAAAGCUCUUUUAAAUAAGUUUAGCCAAUUCCUCUAAAUUGAGCACGGGUCGGAUUGAAUCUGGACCGUGGAGUCCCAGUAUCACCCAAGUUUUUGUGAUUAGUUUAAGCUACAUCUCCAAUAAAUUAAGUAUAUAUAUAGGAGUAGUUCUAUCAUUUUUGAGGUUUUAAUUGGUCGGGUCUGAAUCAGAAAAUAUAUACGUUAAUGAGAGGAUCGAGAUGAACUUAAUAUGUGUGUGUGUCUAUGUCCUUAUUGACUAAAUUUAAGUAUUUUUUUUUUUUAAAAUACUUUCGAACUUUUUAAUAAAUUUUAAUCAACACAUACUUAACUUCUAAGCAAAUUCAUCAUAUAGAAAAUGUAGAAAUGAAAUAAACUAAUAUUACUUUCUUUUCCUCUCUUUAAUAUUUUCGAACUUUUUUAAAAUGUUUGCAGGUUGAGCGGCGGAUGUGGAGUGUGGUGCUGAGAUGAAGAUCUUUUAUUGAAAUCUCGUUUUUUUGUCUCAUCCGUUUCGAUAUUUUUUUUAAAUAUCGCAUUCUAAAAGUAAUUAUGAAAAGGUAUUCAUCGAUUCUCAUAUAUAUAAAAGUACUGAAAUAAAUAUAUAAAUAAUCUAACUCACCUUCAAUUCAACCUCUUCCCGGCAACUAUAUUCUGGCGCGCCAACUUCGCUUUCCAUCAAAAAACCAAAAUUACAAAUCCAAAUUUGGUAGGUCAAUUUUCACUUUUCUUCUCCCUCCAUUUUGUCAUUUGAUCAUUUUUAAGUCGAAAUGAUGGAGGAAAAAUUAUAUUUAGCCUAUUAUUGUUGAAAAUCUAUUAAGUUUGAUUUCUUCUAGUGUCUAAAUUCACAGUAUACGAAGUAUAAUGAUAAAUAACUUGUACAAACUAAAGAAAGUAAUUUUAUGGAAAAAUAAUUAAUCUCCGUAAAUAAAUAUGAAUCAUGUUUGACACUAUUGUUAUUUUUUCUCUGAGGCCGACACUAUUGAAUUUAUUAUCUUUAAUAUUAUAUUCUGUUAAAUUAGGGAUGAAAUUUAGUGUCCCAUAUUUUUUUGUGUGUCAAUCGUAUCCCAAUAUUAUAUUAUUAUUAAUAGUAAUAUUUUUGCAAAAAUAAAGUUUAAUAUAAUAUUCACGAAUUAUAUUUACCCUAACUUUCGAUUUAUCGAUCUAAUAAAGCAUUAUUAACUAAUAAAUAGUAUAGAAAUUAAAUAAUAAAAGAAAAAUAAUAUACCCAAAAUUGAUGGAAUAAAUUUUAAUAAAUAAUUACAAAAUUAAAAUUGAAAAACAAAGAGGAAAGAAAAUAAAAAUUAAAGUGAGACAUUGAAUUUAAUUAGUACAUUGAAUCUCAAUAAAUCUAGACAAGAGUCAAAGUGCGAAUCUUAGCAACUUUCAGAUUAAUUAGAUAAACUUUGAUGAUAUGAAUAUUUAGGGUAAGUCAUUCUUAGUUUCAUUUUUAUUUUUAUUUGUUCAUUGGUAUUGGCCAUCGUUUCUGUUUUGACGAAAAGUUAAUUUCAUGAGUUUUUUUAUACCCAUAUGGCCAUAUGCAACUUGCAAAAGUUUUAUCAGUUUUUUAUACUCAUAUGGCCAUAUGCAUCUUGCAUUAUUCUUCUAAAAAUAUACCAUAACAAAUAUUUAAUAUCUAUUCAAUACCUUUAUAUAAACCCCUAUCCACAUGAAAAUCCAAUCACACCAAUACAUUCCCAUCUCUAUCAAGUUAAAUUAGCUAGCAACAAAGAAUUAAAAUGGCAAAGCUAGGCUCCAUUGGUGUGAUCCUAACAAUCUCAUGCUUGCUAGCGUUGACACUAUACGUCAAUGCUAGAAAGCAAGGCCUUGAUAUUGCGGAGGAUUUCCUAGAUUUCCCCCGCAAAGACUUCUACCUCGAAAAAGAAAAGGUCGUGAAGUUCCGCGUCUUUGUUCAGGAUCUCAGUGUAAAUCACCCCAACACCACCACGUACGACGUGGCACAGGCCUCCAUCACCGCGACCUCCCCGACCAGCUUCGGCAAAGUCCGUGUCAUCGACGACCUAGUCACAGCGCAGCCGGAUGGCAACUCCAGGGCGCUCGGCCGCCUCCAAGGGCUCCUCACGAGAUCCGACCUAACGACGCUCGCGAUCUCAGUGAACCUCAACUUGUACUUCUCGGCGGGGCCUUACGCCGGCAGCAUCAUUAGCCUCCUCGGCCGGAACCAGAUCGCGUUGGCCGAGCGGGAGCUUGUGGUCGCUGGCGGCACCGGUGUCUUCCGAUUUGCUCGUGGAUAUGCAAUUCAGAAGACUAACUCUACGCGCACAAACGUAUCGGUGUUGGAAUACAACAUCUACACCACCUACAAUGCUAAACUCAAUGAGGUUGAUGAAAUGUGAGGAACUAUCAAGUCCAUAUAGAUAGUGGGAUAAAUUUGUGUGAGUGCACGAGUUUGCAUUUGAUUUCUUUGUUGCAUUUUCAUGUGACCACGUACGAAAAUGUUUUUUUUUUUUUUUUUUUUGUAUUGCUAUGAUUGAUGAAUUAUUAUUUUCCUAAAUCACGCUGAUAUUUUUAAAUUUGA